Molecule: ribosomal RNA, 467 nt
Filed under: uncultured bacterium
Lineage: Bacteria
Description: partial 16S ribosomal RNA
Rfam family: Bacterial small subunit ribosomal RNA
Source: RNAcentral
GACGAACGCUGGCGGCGUGCUUAACACAUGCAAGUCGAACGGAAAGGCUCCAGCUUGCUGGAGUACUCGAGUGGCGAACGGGUGAGUAACACGUGGGUAAUCUGCCCUGCACUCUGGGAUAAGCCUGGGAAACUGGGUCUAAUACUGGAUAUGACCUUUCUCCUUAUGGGGUUUGGUGGAAAGUUUUUCGGUGUAGGAUGAGCCCGCGGCCUAUCAGCUUGUUGGUGGGGUGAUGGCCUACCAAGGCGACGACGGGUAGCCGGCCUGAGAGGGUGAUCGGCCACAUUGGGACUGAGAUACGGCCCAGACUCCUACGGGAGGCAGCAGUGGGGAAUAUUGCACAAUGGGCGGAGGCCUGAUGCAGCGACGCCGCGUGAGGGAUGACGGCCUUCGGGUUGUAAACCUCUUUCAGCAGGGACGAAGCGUAAGUGACGGUACCUGCAGAAGAAGCACCGGCUAACUAUGUG